AACGAACGCUGGCGGCAUGCCUAACACAUGCAAGUCGAACGAGACCUUCGGGUCUAGUGGCGCACGGGUGCGUAACGCGUGGGAACAUGCCCUUAGGUUCGGAAUACCCCCCGGAAGGGGUGCUAAUACCGGAAAAUGUCCUCGGACCAAAGAGUUAUUGCCGUUGUAUGGGCCCGCGGUGGAUUAGCUAGUUGGUAGGGAAAAAGCCUACCAAGGCGACGAUUCAUAGCUGGUCUGAGAGAAUGAGCAGCCACACUGGGACUGAGAAACGGCCCGGACUCCUACGGGAGGCAGCAGUGGGGAAUAUUGGACAAUGGGCGAAAGCCUGAUCCAGCAAUGCCGCGUGAGUGAUGAAGGCCUUAGGGUUGUAAAGCUCUUUUACCCGUGAUGAUAAUGACAGUACCGGGAGAAUAAGCGCCGGCUAACUCCGUG
This 432-nucleotide ribosomal RNA is filed under the name uncultured bacterium. RNAcentral's name for it is "partial 16S ribosomal RNA". It matches the Rfam family "Bacterial small subunit ribosomal RNA", at positions 29 to 507 of the family's 1533-position model. The record is from RNAcentral.